UACGGAGGGUGCGAGCGUUGUUCGGAAUUACUGGGCGUAAAGCGCGUGUAGGCGGAUUCAGAAGUCGGGUGUGAAAGCCCCGGGCUCAACCCGGGAAGUGCGCUCGAAACCAUGAGUCUUGAGGUCCGGAGGGGAUCGGGGAAUUCCUGGUGUAGAGGUGAAAUUCGUAGAUAUCAGGAGGAACACCGGUGGCGAAGGCGCCGAUCUGGACGGAUUCUGACGCUGAGACGCGAAAGCGUGGGGAGCAAACAGGAUUAGAUACCCCCGUA
This 269-nucleotide ribosomal RNA is filed under the name uncultured prokaryote. RNAcentral describes it as "partial 16S ribosomal RNA". It matches the Rfam family "Bacterial small subunit ribosomal RNA", at positions 524 to 792 of the family's 1533-position model. The record is from RNAcentral.